Long non-coding RNA from Esox lucius (northern pike), 1119 nucleotides. Lineage: Eukaryota; Metazoa; Chordata; Actinopteri; Esociformes; Esocidae. The record is from Ensembl.
CACACAUUUCUGUUUCAUUUAAUCUUUUUGCAAAGCAAAAUUGUCAUCAUGUAAUCAUUUUAAGUUAACUGAAAGACAGAGAAAUAGAGACCGUGAACGUAAGAAAGAUAAAGAGAGAUAGAAAGAGACUCAGAAAGAGGCAGAGAGAAAGGAAGUGAGUGAAAUUCAGGCGUGUCUCUGUGAUUUAGGUAUAAAGAGAGCUUAGUGUGUAGUCAGGGUCCAGUACAUCAGUAUGGAGAAAGCUGUGUGGAUACUGGCUCUUCUGUGUCUGGAGGUCUGUCUGCUCUCCACAGAGGCCCAACCUGGAACAGACAGACUGACAGCUGCCCAAACCAACCAAGACAUGAAUUCAAGGAUUAAAAGAGAGGUGAGUGACCAGAGUGAAUGCCAGAAGAAGCCUAACAAACAAUGUCCCAACCACAUUGGAGUGUUUGGUCCUUUGUCAGACCAAGGAGAUUCUCCAGUACUUCCUCCUCAUCAACCUCGUCCAUUUCCUUCAACUCUGGAUUCAAGGAUUAAAAGAGAGGGGAGGGACCAGAGUGAACGCCAGAAGAAGCCUAACAACUACCCAGGAGUGUGGAGUCAUUUGGGAAGAGGCAACCAAUCACAAACAGAAACAUCCAAAGAGUUUGUAUAGAAAACAAAGCUUGAGGAAAGGAUCGUCUUUACAUGCAUAUAUACCACAUCGUAAUCUGAGGGGGGCCUGUAAGGACAGCUUGCACCCCGGCCCGGCAGCACCACGCUACACCAGUACAUCCACUGUAUUUGUGACAGCUGCGCCCUCUGCUGCUUCACCUCCCCCUGCAGCAGACAGACUCCAGCGUUCGACGUCACCGGCCUUCUGACACCACCGUCCAUCUCAUCAUGCAUUUCACCUGUGUCUUGUUUAGCGCACCUGGUUCUCAUCCUCAUCAUUCCCCCCAGUAUAUGUGUUCCCUCUGCUCCCCCUGUCUAUGUGUGUAAUUGUCUCUGUGUUACAAAGAGCAGUGUUGCGCUUCGCAUAUAUCACUCGAUUAUUAAAAGAUUCUACAAAAGUAUUACGCCGUUCUCCUGCUCCUCCUUGUUCCGCCCCGAAGACGUGACAGUGUUUGAAUAUCUAUUGUGGCAGGUGACGGGGAG